RNAcentral lists this ribosomal RNA (599 nucleotides) under uncultured bacterium. RNAcentral's name for it is "bacterial SSU rRNA". It matches the Rfam family "Bacterial small subunit ribosomal RNA", at positions 917 to 1519 of the family's 1533-position model. The record is from RNAcentral.
GGGCCCGCACAAGCAGUGGAGUAUGUGGUUUAAUUCGAAGCAACGCGAAGAACCUUACCAGGUCUUGACAUCCAACUAACGAAGCAGAGAUGCAUAAGGUGCCCUUCGGGGAAAGUUGAGACAGGUGGUGCAUGGUUGUCGUCAGCUCGUGUCGUGAGAUGUUGGGUUAAGUCCCGCAACGAGCGCAACCCUUGUCAUUAGUUGCUACGCAAGAGCACUCUAAUGAAACUGCCGUUGACAAAACGGAGGAAGGUGGGGACGACGUCAAAUCAUCAUGCCCCUUAUGACCUGGGCUACACACGUACUACAAUGGCCAUUAACAGAGGGAAGCAAGACCGCGAGGUGGAGCAAAACCCCAAAAAUGGUCUCAGUUCAGAUUGCAGGCUGCAACCCGCCUGCAUGAAGAUGGAAUUGCUAGUAAUCGCGGAUCAGCAUGCCGCGGUGAAUACGUUCCCGGGCCUUGUACACACCGCCCGUCACACCAUGGGAGCCGGUAAUACCCGAAGUCAGUAGUCUAACCGCAAGGAGGACGCUGCCGAAGGUAGGAUUGGCGACUGGGGUGAAGUCGUAACAAGGUAGCCGUAUCGGAAGGUGCGGCU